RNAcentral lists this signal recognition particle RNA (296 nucleotides) under Saimiri boliviensis boliviensis (Bolivian squirrel monkey). RNAcentral's name for it is "Metazoan signal recognition particle RNA (ENSSBOG00000015447.1)". It matches the Rfam family "Metazoan signal recognition particle RNA". Rfam says of the family: The signal recognition particle (SRP) is a universally conserved ribonucleoprotein. It is involved in the co-translational targeting of proteins to membranes. The eukaryotic SRP consists of a 300-nucleotide 7S RNA and six proteins: SRPs 72, 68, 54, 19, 14, and 9. Lineage: Eukaryota; Metazoa; Chordata; Mammalia; Primates; Cebidae. The record is from RNAcentral.
GCCGGGCGUGGUGGCCCAUGCCUGUAGUCUCAGCUACUCAGGAGGCUGAGGCGGGAGGAUUGCUUGAGCCCAGGAGUUAUGGCCUGCAGUGCGCUAUGCCGAUCGGGUGCCUGCACUAAGUUCGGCAUCAGUAUGGUGACCUGGGAGCGGGGGACCACCAGGUUGACUAAGGAGGGGUGAACUGGCCCAGGUCGGAAAUGGAGCAAGUCAAAACUCCUGUGCUGAUCAGUAGUGGGAUCAUGCCUGUGAAUAGCCACUGCUCUCCAGCCUGGGCAACAUAGUGAGACCCCAUCUCU